AUACGGAGGAUCCGAGCGUUAUCCGGAUUUAUUGGGUUUAAAGGGUGCGCAGGCGGCCAUUUAAGUCAGCGGUUAAAUCGUGGGGCUCAACCCCAUUCUGCCGUUGAUACUGGGUGGCUUGAUUGCGGUCGAGGUUGGCGGAAUUCGUUGUGUAGCGGUGAAAUGCAUAGAUAUGACGAAGAACACCGAUUGCGUAGGCAGCUGGCCAGACCGCAAAUGACGCUCAUGCACGAAAGUGCGGGGAGCGAACAGGAUUAGAUACCCUGGUAGUCCGCACAGUAAACGAUGAAGACUUGUUUUCGGCGAUAUAAUGACGGAGGCAAAGCGAAAGCGAUAAGUAUUCCACCUGGGGAGUACGCCGGCAACGGUGAAACUCAAAGGAAUUGACGGGG
Molecule: ribosomal RNA, 392 nt
Filed under: uncultured bacterium
Lineage: Bacteria
Description: partial 16S ribosomal RNA
Rfam family: Bacterial small subunit ribosomal RNA
Source: RNAcentral